AUGGACUGCAGGACAGUGCUGCUGAUUUUGACUGUCUGCUAUGCAGGUGUUGAUGGUCAGACUCUGACUCAGUCUGAACCUGUGGUUAAAAGGCCCGGAGAAUCCCACAGACUGACCUGUACAGGCUCUGGAUUCACAUUCAGCAGCUACUGGAUGCACUGGAUCAGACAGGCUCCUGGAAAAGGGCUGGAGUGGAUUGCUUUCAUUUAUACUGAUAGUAGUGGCAUGUUCUACUCUGAUUCAGUCAGAGGCCGGUUUACCAUCGCCAGAGACAACAGCAAACAGCAGCUGUAUCUGCAGAUGAACAGUCUGCAGAUACAGACUGAAGAUUCUGCCGUUUAUUAUUGUGAUCGAGACUCACAGUGA
Molecule: non-coding RNA, 366 nt
Organism: Pelmatolapia mariae (spotted tilapia)
Lineage: Eukaryota; Metazoa; Chordata; Actinopteri; Cichliformes; Cichlidae
Source: the annotation of a RefSeq genome assembly